AGUGAACGCUGGCGGUAGGCCUAACACAUGCAAGUCGAACGGCAGCACAGUAAGAGCUUGCUCUUACGGGUGGCGAGUGGCGGACGGGUGAGGAAUACAUCGGAAUCUACUUUUUCGUGGGGGAUAACGUAGGGAAACUUACGCUAAUACCGCAUACGACCUACGGGUGAAAGCAGGGGAUCUUCGGACCUUGCGCGAUUGAAUGAGCCGAUGUCGGAUUAGCUAGUUGGCGGGGUAAAGGCCCACCAAGGCGACGAUCCGUAGCUGGUCUGAGAGGAUGAUCAGCCACACUGAACUGAGACACGGUCCAGACUCCUACGGGAGGCAGCAGUGGGGAAUAUUGGACAAUGGGCGCAAGCCUGAUCCAGCCAUAUCGCGUGGGUGAAGAAGGCCUUCGGGUUGUAAAGCCCUUUUGUUGGGAAAGAAAAGCAGCAGGUUAAUACCCCGCUGUUCUGACGGUACCCAAAGAAUAAGCACCGGCUAACUUCGUG
RNAcentral lists this ribosomal RNA (491 nucleotides) under uncultured bacterium. Its description in RNAcentral is "partial 16S ribosomal RNA". It matches the Rfam family "Bacterial small subunit ribosomal RNA", at positions 29 to 507 of the family's 1533-position model. The record is from RNAcentral.